ACGAACGCUGGCGGCGUGCCUUAUGCAUGCAAGUCGAACGAGUCUAGCCGGUGCCGCAAGGUAUUGGCGAAAGCUAGUGGCAAACUGCUGAGUAACACGUGGGUAACCUACCUUCUAGUGGGGGAUAUACCGCCGAAAGGCGGCGUAAUACCGCAUAAUCUCCUCCCCUGAUGGGGGAGGAAGAAAGCCUCACGGCGCUGGAAGAUGGGCCUGCGGCCUAUCAGGUAGUUGGCGGGGUAACGGCCCACCAAGCCUAAGACGGGUAGCUGGUCUGAGAGGACGACCAGCCAGACGGGGACUGCGAUACGGCCCCGACUCCUACGGGAGGCAGCAGCAGGGAAUAUUGCGCAAUGGACGCAAGUCUGACGCAGCGACGCCGCGUGAGGGAUGAAGGCUUUCGGGUCGUAAACCUCUUUUCUGGGGGACGAGCAAGGACGGUACCCCAGGAAUAAGCCACGGCUAACUACGU
RNAcentral lists this ribosomal RNA (469 nucleotides) under uncultured bacterium. Its description in RNAcentral is "bacterial SSU rRNA". It matches the Rfam family "Bacterial small subunit ribosomal RNA", at positions 29 to 506 of the family's 1533-position model. The record is from RNAcentral.